CCGUCUUAUUUUGGAAGCGGGCAGAGGAAGCAGAGUAAAGAAAGAGCAGAAGUAGAACUGUUUUUAAGCUGUGUUUGAAGUUGAAAGGGAAGCAUCUUCUAGAAGCAUUUCUGUUUGUAUCUUUACAUCAAAACGCAGUUUGUUUUCCAUACAGUUACAUCUCUACCAGUCUUAUUAAGGGAAAUUACUGCUCUUUAACUUGCCAGACAACUCACAACAUGACAUCAUGGGGAACCCCCCAAAUGCCUGAAAACAAAUUCCUGGAUAGCGCAGAGUAGGAGGUGCUGGGAGCUCUGCUACUGUCUUUUCACUCCUGUGGGAGAACGUGCUUCCAGCCGAGUUAGUAACACGUCAUUGAGCACUGGCUGCAUCUGCUGAGCAUUCAGUGCUUCAGAGUUUAAGUGAUGUGCAAACCAUUUUGAGCAAAAACAAAGAAAGUUUUAGACCAGCUAUCAGAAAGUUUUCUAAUGCCGAGUUACGUCAUAUUGAAAGAGAUGUUUUAGAUCAGGCACGUCCGACCUGUGGCUCAUUGUAUCUCUUGUAGGUACCAUGAAAAGACAGCAGGCAUUACAUUUGGAGCAGCCUACGUAUAUCUGGUCCAAUACAACCCCUUUUCACUCAAUGUGGCCUGGUGGGUGAAGCCCAUUAUGAAGGGUACCUGAAACCAGGUAGCUGAAGACAGAAAUACAAUCCCAUUCUUCCAAGCUUUCUCAGAGUGAAGGAAUCCAGCUGCCAGCUUCUCCUUUGCACAUCAUGUACUUCAGACUUCCAAAUGGGAACUCAAUAUACAUACUUGAGAACAGGGCAGAAAUAGGUAUCAGAGCAGAGAAGAAAGUGAAGGCACACUGCUGGCAUUCUAGAUGCUGUUCCGGUUUGGGAUAGUGCUUUUCUUACCACGGCCUUAAAGGACUUUGUGGAGAAACAGCACACUGCAUUAAGUGACAGCUCAGUCUGGUCCUGCCUCUCCAUUCAUCAUGUGGGCAUGGUCACAGGAGCCAUUUCAAACCAUGCGAGUGAGAACACAAGUGCAGCUGGACCUGGAGUGCCACAACUGAUUUAGAUGAACGAUUGUGGAAAGAGCUAUUUGAGAAGUCAAUGCUUCUAAGGGAGCAGUUUUGAUGCUGGGAUACUAGAAACCCUGCACAACCCAGUGAUGUGAUGGUUUUCUCCAGGUCUCAGAGCAGCUGUCCAGAUCUUCACGCUCACCUCUGCUUUCAGAGGUAAGUUGCACCAGCGGGGUGGUACUGGGUUGGUGAUAUUUGUCUCCAGACACCAAAUGCCACAUUCACAGUGUCUCAGCCAGCCUCACUGCUCUCCACCUCACCACUGUCUGCACAAAGCAUUGCCUGAACCAGACAGUGUUUCUUCUGCAAUAGCAGCCUAUGUAAUUCUCACUCGGGAGCCAGGAAGAAAGCUCUCUGAAGCCCUUAGGCAAAUGCAGGGGGUGUAUGAGGGAUAUAAAUAUGUUUGUGUUAGAGUGUUUUUGUGUCUGUUUCCAGCUUGUGGCAAAGAGGUAUUUGAUGGGUGCUAUCCUGCUGCUGUCUGAAUGAUGGAAGGGUUUGCCUGUUCUUUUCAAAAAGGAAAACAAAACAAAAUAACAACAACAAAAAACCAAUUCUACCUGUCAUGUAUUCUACCUGUAUUAUCAUUAAGAUCCUUUAAUUAAUAUACUCAGGCUUGCUUUUAAGGUCAGGCACAGACAAAUCCAGUAGGUGGGCCCGAAAUGUGAUCAGCCAUUCAAAGUUAAUUAAACUCUGCCUGACUCCUACGUUCAGCUGUUGUAGAAGGGCUGGAUCCUGAACUGCCCUACAUCAGCUUAAUGCCAUGGGCUUUACACAGAUCAGGCAUUGGCUCCAGAUCUGACCAGUGUAGAGGACUUUUCCAGAACUGAGAAAAGUAAAG
This is a long non-coding RNA of Tympanuchus pallidicinctus (lesser prairie-chicken), 1902 nucleotides long. RefSeq lists it as uncharacterized. The transcript has 5 exons. Lineage: Eukaryota; Metazoa; Chordata; Aves; Galliformes; Phasianidae. The record is from RefSeq and is a predicted model, not a curated record.